Molecule: ribosomal RNA, 479 nt
Filed under: uncultured bacterium
Lineage: Bacteria
Description: bacterial SSU rRNA
Rfam family: Bacterial small subunit ribosomal RNA
Source: RNAcentral
ACUCCUACGGGAGGCAGCAGUGGGGAAUUUUGGACAAUGGGGGCGAACCCUCGAUCCAGCAAUGCCGCGUGAGUGAAGAAGGCCCUCCGGGUUGUAAAGCUCUUUUGUUCAGGGAAGAAACGGUGAUCUCUAAUAUAGAUUGCUAAUGACGGUACCUGAAGAAUAAGCACCGGCUAACUACGUGCCAGCAGCCGCGGUAAUACGUAGGGGUGCAAGCGUUAAUCGGAAUUACUGGGCGUAAAGCGUGCGCAGGCGGUUUUGUAAGUCUGAUGUGAAAUCCCCGGGGCUCAACCUGGGAACUGCAUUGGAGACUGCAAGGCUAGAGUGUGUCAGAGGGGGGUAGAAUUCCACGUGUAGCAGUGAAAUGCGUAGAGAUGUGGAGGAAUACCGAUGGCGAAGGCAGCCCCCUGGGAUAACACUGACGCUCAUGCACGAAAGCGUGGGGAGCAAACAGGAUUAGAUACCCUGGUAGGAUAGCG